This 492-nucleotide ribosomal RNA is filed under the name uncultured bacterium. RNAcentral's name for it is "partial 16S ribosomal RNA". It matches the Rfam family "Bacterial small subunit ribosomal RNA", at positions 29 to 507 of the family's 1533-position model. The record is from RNAcentral.
AGUGAACGCUGGCGGUAGGCCUAACACAUGCAAGUCGAACGGCAGCACAGUAAGAGCUUGCUCUUACGGGUGGCGAGUGGCGGACGGGUGAGGAAUACAUCGGCAUCUACUUUUUCGUGGGGGAUAACGUAGGGAAACUUACGCUAAUACCGCAUACGACCUACGGGUGAAAGCAGGGGAUCUUCGGACCUUGCGCGAUUCAAUUAGCCGAUGUCGCAUUAGCUAGUUGGCGGGGUAAAGGCCCACCAAGGCGACGAUCCGUAGCUGGUCUGAGAGGAUGAUCAGCCACACUGGAACUGAGACACGGUCCAGACUCCUACGGGAGGCAGCAGUGGGGAAUAUUGGACAAUGGGCGCAAGCCUGAUCCAGCCAUACCGCGUGGGUGAAGAAGGCCUUCGGGUUGUAAAGCCCUUUUGUUGGGAAAGAAAAGCAGCAGGUUAAUACCCCGCUGUUCUGACGGUACCCAAAGAAUAAGCACCGGCUAACUUCGUG